This 448-nucleotide ribosomal RNA is filed under the name uncultured bacterium. RNAcentral's name for it is "SSU rRNA". It matches the Rfam family "Bacterial small subunit ribosomal RNA", at positions 26 to 518 of the family's 1533-position model. The record is from RNAcentral.
AGAGCGAACGCUGGCGGCAGGCCUAACACAUGCAAGUCGAGCGCCCGUAGCAAUACGGGAGCGGCAGACGGGAUAGUAACACGUGGGAACGCGCCCUUCGGUUCGGAAUAACUCAGGGAAACUUGAGCUAAUACCGAAUACGCCCUUACGGGGAAAGAUUUAUUGCCGAAGGAACGGCCCGCGUCCGAUUAGCUAGUUGGUGAGGUAAUGGCUCACCAAGGCUACGAUCGGUAGCUGGUCUGAGAGGAUGACCAGCAUCACUGGGACUGAGACACGGCCCAGACUCCUACGGGAGGCAGCAGUGGGGAAUAUUGGACAAUGGGCGAAAGCCUGAUCCAGCCAUACCGCGUGGAUGAUGAAGGCCUUAGGGUUGUAAAGUCCUUUUAACGGGGAAGAUAAUGACGGUACCCGUAGAAUAAGCCCCGGCUAACUUCGUGCCAGCAGCCGC